This 459-nucleotide ribosomal RNA is filed under the name uncultured bacterium. RNAcentral's name for it is "partial 16S ribosomal RNA". It matches the Rfam family "Bacterial small subunit ribosomal RNA", at positions 338 to 795 of the family's 1533-position model. The record is from RNAcentral.
CCUACGGGUGGCAGCAGUGAGGAAUAUUGGUCAAUGGGCGGGAGCCUGAACCAGCCAAGUCGCGUGAAGGAAGAAGGUACGGAGGAGUGUAAACUGCUUUUGUCGGGGAAUAAAGCCCGAUACGCGUCUCCCUUUGCGUGUACCCUAUGAAAAAGCAUCGGCUAACUCCGUGCCAGCAGCCGCGGUAAUACGGGGGUUGCGAGCGUUAUCCGGAUUUAUUGGGUUUAAGGGGUGCGUAUGCGGGAUGUCACGUGGGCGGUAAAAUGUCGGGGCUCACCCCCGGCCGGCCGUUGAAACUGGUUUGCGAGAUUUGGCGAGAGGCAUGCGGAAUUCGUGGUGUAGCGGUGAAAUGCAUAGAUAUCACGAAGAACUCCGAUUGCGAAGGCAGCAUACCGGAUCCGAACUGACGCUGAGGCACGAAAGCGUGGGGAUCGAACAGGAUUAGAUACCCGUGUAGUC